Long non-coding RNA from Apodemus sylvaticus (European woodmouse), 1625 nucleotides. RefSeq lists it as uncharacterized. The record is from RefSeq and is a predicted model, not a curated record. The transcript is spliced from 3 exons. NCBI's taxonomy places the organism in Eukaryota, Metazoa, Chordata, Mammalia, Rodentia, Muridae.
GAAGCCUGAAUGGGGACAGGCUAAGGUCCCCGGCUGCAGCUGACUGCAACCCUCACAAGGCAUUUCAAACAGCAGGAAUGGAGCUGACCUGAGUGUGGCAGUGUCUGUGGGAAGGUGAGCCUCCAGGACAGUCCACACUGGGCACAGUCAUGGGAACUAACUGUCAAUCUGACAAGAAAGGAUGUCUCCUGUCACCCUCAGGAAGGGGCUUUGUCUCCACAGUUCCCACUGAUGACACUAUAGUGGCUUUCCUCUGCAAGGACCCUGGCAGUCACUCUCAGAGAAUGGAACACCAGAUCUUCUCCAUCCCUGGGACAUCCUGCUUGGUCCCUGGCUUUCAGGCCAACUUCCCAUCUGCUCAAUGCUCAGCCUGAACUUCCAUCAAUCCAAUGAGAGUCAGGGGCACCCAGCAUGCAGCUUGCAUACCACAGCCCCACCAUCUGGCCCUUGAUUAUUCCUGCUCCCUCAACUUCAACCUGAGGAUGCUGGGAACCAGACAACAUCACGUGUGACCAAGCAUCAUACAUGACUGCUCAUGUGGACAAUGGGGAUUUCUCCCUGGAUCACCCAGAACUAGAGAGGAGGACAUUUCUGGUCUUGGAAAAGUAUUGUACCUAACUCAGGACUCCUUUAUCAUUAACCCAUGUUCCCCUCAUACUUAGGUUGGGAUAUAUUUGGGGACAUUGGAAAAAACUAUCUGUGCAUCUUAUAACCUGUAAUUUGUGUCCAAAAAACUUUGUUCAUUUUAAUCUCAAACAGUGGUACCCAAGUGCUGGUACCUCAACCCAGCUCUCCCUCUUGCAACACCAGCCCUGGGCAACCACAUCCUUUCCCUAACGGCAUCCCUGAGCCCAGAACUGCGACAGGAUCUCUCACUGGUAGGUUGUGGUUCCAAGCUAACGGCUACCUGACAGAACUCACACAGUAUCUAGUUCUCUCUGAUCCUAUCACUGGAUGUACUCAUUCAUGGUGGCCUGGUCCUGCCUCUAUCAGGGUGGCCAGGUGUCCUAUCUCUAGGUCUUGUUGCCUAAGAGCAACAGUAGGAUCACCAAUGUGGGGCCUCAGGUGACCUCACACAGACAAGGCAGCCUGGGAUUGCAAUGGGCACAGGGAGCAGGAAAUGGUUUCUCUUGAGGGAGUCAUCUGCUUACUCCUUAUGCUAUGCUAGGUUCCUUCAAAAAUGUAAAGGGCUCCAACUUGAUCUUACUUCCUGCUUGUUCCCCUUACUUCCUGCUGUCCAGAUGGGCCUGCCUUGUCUGAGAAGCUCUGUCUCUCCCUCAUUGCCAUUCCUGGUCUUGCUUAGUAUUGUUUCUUUCACUUAAGGUCUCACUAUGCAGCCGCAGCUACUCUAGAGAUUACUAUUUAGGGCAGACUAGACUUAAACUCUCAAAGAUUCACCUGUCCCUGCUUUCUGAGUGUAAGGAUUAAACAUAUGUUGCCACCACACCCAGCCGGCUGUCCUGUCUUGAUGGUCCAUUCCCGUUUCACACUAGGCUUUCUUUCUCUCAGGCUGAGACUCCCGACGACAGCCCCUUCUAGUCUAGACACCGUGUUAGAGCCCCAGAUCCAGGAAUUUUAUGCCCUGAUACUAGGCUUUCAUGGUUCCCCCAAAGUCAGGAGACAAC